UGGGGAAUAUUGGACAAUGGGCGCAAGCCUGAUCCAGCAAUGCCGCGUGUGUGAAGAAGGCCUUCGGGUUGUAAAGCACUUUAAGCAGGGAAGAAAAAACUCGGUCUAAUACAUCGAGUCUUGACGGUACCUGAAGAAUAAGCACCGGCUAACUCUGUGCCAGCAGCCGCGGUAAUACAGAGGGUGCUAGCGUUAAUCGGAUUUACUGGGCGUAAAGCGUGUGUAGGUGGUUGUUCAAGUCAGUUGUGAAAUCCCCUGGGCUUAACCUGGGAACUGCUUCUGAGACUGAACGACUAGAGUACGGUAGAGGGUGGUGGAAUUUCCGGUGUAGCGGUGAAAUGCGUAGAUAUCGGAAGGAACAUCAAUGGCGAAGGCAGCCACCUGGGGCCUGUACUGACACUGAGACACGAAAGCGUGGGGAUCAAACAGGAUUAGAUACCCUGAUAGUCCACGCCGUAAACGAUGAGAACUUGACGUCGGUUUGCUCUGCAAGUCGGUGUCGUAGCUAACGCGAUAAGUUCUCCGCCUGGGGAGUACGG
Molecule: ribosomal RNA, 539 nt
Filed under: uncultured bacterium
Lineage: Bacteria
Description: partial 16S ribosomal RNA
Rfam family: Bacterial small subunit ribosomal RNA
Source: RNAcentral